UUGGAGGGCAAGUCUGGUGCCAGCAGCCGCGGUAAUUCCAGCUCCAAUAGCGUAUAUUAAAGUUGUUGCAGUUAAAAAGCUCGUAGUUGAAUUUCGGGGUUAGUAAGUUGGUCAUGCCUUCGGUAUGUACUGGCUUUACUGAUUCCUCCUUCUUGACGAACCGUGAUGUCAUUAAUUUGGUGUUGCGGGAAAUCAGGACUGUUACUUUGAAAAAAUUAGAGUGUUUAAAGCAGGCUAACGCUUGAAUACAUUAGCAUGGAAUAAUGAAAUAGGACGUUAAUCCUAUUUUGUUGGUUUCUAGGAUCGACGUAAUGAUUAAUAGGGAUAGUUGGGGGCAUUAGUAUUCAAUUGUCAGAGGUGAAAUUCUUGGAUUUAUUGAAGACUAACUACUGCGAAAGCAUUUGCCAAGGAUGUUUUCAUUAAUCAAGAACGAAAGUUAGGGGAUCGAAGACGAUCAGAUACCGUCGUAGUCUUAACCAUAAACUAUGCCGACUAGGGAUCGGAUGAUGUUAUCUUAAUGACUCAUUCGGCGCCUUACGGGAAAC
RNAcentral lists this ribosomal RNA (545 nucleotides) under uncultured Glomeromycotina. RNAcentral describes it as "SSU rRNA". It matches the Rfam family "Eukaryotic small subunit ribosomal RNA", at positions 548 to 1098 of the family's 1831-position model. Lineage: Eukaryota; Fungi; Glomeromycota. The record is from RNAcentral.